UCACUCUGAAGAAGGCCAGCCGCCAUGUUCCGAAGACACUCAAGCAGCCCUGUGAAGAGGGUUAUAUGGCAAGAAUCGGAGGCCUCCUGCCAAGAGCCAUGUGAGUGCGCCAUCUUGGACACAGCUAUUCCAGCUCCAUUAGGCCUUGGGGUGUCUGCAACCUUAUGAGAGACCCUAAGCUAGAACCACCCAAGCUCCGUUGGCCCCAGAUUCUUGAUCCACAGAAAUUGUGUGAGACAGAUGAAUGAUUUUUAUAAUUAAGAGAAGAGAAACUUCCCUUUUGAAAAUCAUCAAAAGUGAAAGUCAGACCUGUAUUUCCUUUGGAUGAGUCGACCGUUUAAGCACAACAUGCGGAGGCCAGAUGUCUGCCGGUGCACCUGCGUGCCGGGGAGAGGUCCGAAGGGCAGAUGGUGGAUGAGGGGCCAGUAGCCACAACACCUGCCCCCCCAACAACCUCAGCCAGACUGGCUCUUUCGCGCAUGUUACACAUUGAGUUUCUGCAUAAUUUCACAUAAAAGUUUCCACUGCUUGAAAAAAAAAAAAAAAAAAGUUUGAAAACCUUUACCGUGAGAAUGAAUAACAGUUGAAGAGUUAAAAUUAGGCUAUAGAAGAACCACUCAAACUUUUUUUGGGAAUGUGAACAGAGUUUCCAUAAAGAAAAUCCUGCACAUUCUGAGAGAACAGAAGCCCUGACAACUUAACAAAUGUUCGGUGGUUUCAACAGAGGCUUGCUCGUGUGGCCAUGGAAAAGGUGACAGCUAGGGAUGAAGAGCUUAUCCAGGGACCCCUCCGAUCCAAGGGGCCCAAGAGGCCAGCAGAAGCAGCAGGGCCUUAAGGCCCCGGGGGACACAGAUCAGAACCACAGGUGAGUGGCUCUCUCGUUUUCUCAGGAAAAUCCAAAGCAGGAGAUGCUAAAAGCACGGACUUCGGAGACACCAGAUCUGGGUUCAAGUUCCAGGUCUGACACUAAAAACUUAAGAGAUCUUUGGCAAGUGACAUAGCCAAACUGAAGUUGGAGAACGCAAAAUGGUACAGCCAUUUUGGAAAACAGGUUAGCGGUUUCCUAAACAGAAACUUGCCAUGUGACCCAGCAAUUCCAUUCCCAGGUAACCACCCAAGAGAAAUAAAAACAUACAUCCGCACAAAGACUUGCACACAACUGUUCUUAGCAGCACUAUUCAUCAUAACUCAAGGUGGAAGCGAUCCAAAUGUUCCUCAACCGGUGAACGGAGAAACAAAAUGCGGCAUAUCCACACGAUGGAAUACUAAAGGGCGAUAAAAGGAAGAAAGUCCUGAUACAUGCCACAACCUGAACGCACCCUGAAAACAUUACUCUAAAUGAAACAAGCCAAUCGCAAAAGAUCACAUAUUAGCUGAGUCCAUGUACGUGGAACAUUCCAGAAAAGGCAAAGAUACAGAGGCAGAAAACAGACUAGUGGUUACCUGGGGCUGGGGACAGGAGUGACUACAAGUGGGCACAAAGUGUCUUUUUGGGGUGACGGAAUGUUCAAAACUCGGGUUGUGGUGAUGGGCACACAACCCUGUAAAUGUCCUGAAAAUCAUUGAAUCGCACCCUUAAAAUGGGCACAUUCUGCGAUAUGUAAAUUAAAACUCAAUAGAGCUGUUUUUAAACAAUG
Felis catus (domestic cat) is the source of this 1637-nucleotide long non-coding RNA. RefSeq lists it as uncharacterized. NCBI's taxonomy places the organism in Eukaryota, Metazoa, Chordata, Mammalia, Carnivora, Felidae. The transcript has 2 exons. The record is from RefSeq and is a predicted model, not a curated record.